UCGUGCACAUCGCCGAAUUCUGCCGGUGCUCGGGGUUCCUGAAGAGAAAUCGCUUGGCAGAAGCGGGGGAACCAUUUUCGGUCCUGGGGUCCGGGACCUAGGGGUUAAGUCACCCGGAACGCAUGCGUCCGGGGCGGCCGGGUGUCUCCCACCCGCAUCCGACAGCUCACCUCGUAGGCAAAGGGAGGAACA
RNAcentral lists this small RNA (192 nucleotides) under Kocuria marina. RNAcentral describes it as "c-di-AMP sequence". It matches the Rfam family "c-di-AMP riboswitch aptamer (ydaO/yuaA leader)". From Rfam's summary of the family: This family represents a conserved RNA structure found upstream of the ydaO and yuaA genes in Bacillus subtilis and related genes in other bacteria. The ydaO/yuaA element is thought to act as a genetic "off" switch for the ydaO and yuaA genes in its native state. The record is from RNAcentral. Lineage: Bacteria; Bacillati; Actinomycetota; Actinomycetes; Micrococcales; Micrococcaceae.